Molecule: long non-coding RNA, 1029 nt
Organism: Melospiza melodia melodia
Lineage: Eukaryota; Metazoa; Chordata; Aves; Passeriformes; Passerellidae
Exons: 6
Source: RefSeq, a predicted model, not a curated record
GAUCCAGCCCUCUGAGCAUCAUCUGGAUUCACUCCAAUAUCUCCAUGUCCUUCCUGAGCUGCCUUGUGUCCUAUCCUGUGGAGCUGGAACCUCACAGAAAGGUGCUUGUGACCAAUAAGUGGUGCCAGGAGCUCCUUCCCAGUGCUGCCAGUGCUUCUACACCCUGGUCAUGGCAUGAUUAUUGCCAUAGUACAUGGACAUCAGGGUUCAUAAAUUCCUAAGAAUGAAAUUUCACCUGAGAGAGUCGUGAGUGAAGAACCAGUUCAAAAGUGUCAAGCUAACUAGAACCAGUUCAAAAGUGGCAAGGUUCAUUGCAUGCAGUCUGAGCUCUGGAGGGAGCUGGGAGGAGAUCCAUAGCACAUCCAUCUGCCUCCACAUCAUUUCAGAGAGGAAGAAUUGUCCCUGGCACGCAGCAAAGCCUUGCUAUGCAAUCAACUUAAGCCUUGAAGCAUGAAAUUUGAUUUUCUUUACCAUAGGAGUUUUUUCACAGCAGCAACAGCAAACCUAACACAGGGACACAGCUGAAAUCACAACAAACUGCAUAAGGGCAGAGAAGAAUGGAAGGAAACACUUGGACCAGUUUUUCUGCCAAAGAAAAUGUCCAUGUGAUGACAUCGUCUUGAUAUAGAAUCAGCACAUGAGAUUGCCUUGGAAAAGGCUGGAGAAGAUGUUUGGGCCUUAUUAAAGCUGCAUGGACAUAAAUAGACAUGCAGGAGUACAACUUGUGGUCUAUGUUUCAUCCCAAUAUUACCUGACUGGUCCACAAAGAAAAGCAGAUGUGAACACAAGGUUUGUCCAAACUCCCUUUCCAAGCACUGCUUCCAGCCUGCUGAGGAGGCACUUUUUUGUUUUGAAAGAGCUGAGCCAAGCCCCAGUAUUGCAGAACUGAAGCUCCUGAGGUGGGUUUUGAUGCUGCAUCUGCCUAAGCUGACAGAGGAGUCCCCUUCUCUCCACAAACCAGUGCCAGCUUUCCUGCCCCACUGAGUGCUGUGCAGGAACAGGCUCCCACCCAAACAGGACCAGUGCUGA